GCGGAUUUAGCUCAGUUGGGAGAGCGCCAGACUGAAGUUAUCUGGAGGUCCUGUGUUCGAUCCACAGAAUUCGCA
This 75-nucleotide transfer RNA is filed under the name Zygotorulaspora mrakii. RNAcentral describes it as "tRNA-Phe". It matches the Rfam family "tRNA". From Rfam's summary of the family: Transfer RNA (tRNA) molecules are approximately 80 nucleotides in length. Their secondary structure includes four short double-helical elements and three loops (D, anti-codon, and T loops). Further hydrogen bonds mediate the characteristic L-shaped molecular structure. tRNAs have two regions of fundamental functional importance: the anti-codon, which is responsible for specific mRNA codon recognition, and the 3' end, to which the tRNAs corresponding amino acid is attached (by aminoacyl-tRNA synthetases). tRNAs cope with the degeneracy of the genetic code in two manners: having more than one tRNA (with a specific anti-codon) for a particular amino acid; and 'wobble' base-pairing, i.e. permitting non-standard base-pairing at the 3rd anti-codon position. The record is from RNAcentral. RNAcentral also lists the same sequence under 1 other name. Lineage: Eukaryota; Fungi; Ascomycota; Saccharomycetes; Saccharomycetales; Saccharomycetaceae.